Long non-coding RNA from Aethalodelphis obliquidens (Pacific white-sided dolphin), 949 nucleotides. RefSeq lists it as uncharacterized. Lineage: Eukaryota; Metazoa; Chordata; Mammalia; Artiodactyla; Delphinidae. The record is from RefSeq and is a predicted model, not a curated record. The transcript is spliced from 3 exons.
AGGGAGAAGAAAAAAAUUAGUGGUUAUUCUUUAAAUAUCUAUAUAGUUAAUUCUUGAUAAUUUGUGCAUUAUUGGUAGUGGGAUAGACAUAAAUAAUAGAAACCUGUAUCAUUCAAAAUCUCAAAGGCAAAAGCUGCACUGUGUUCUCUCAAACCUUUACACAUUGUUGAUUGCUCUGGUGCUCAUCUAAUUUCCUGAUUACUUACCCAUCAGGAAAGUAUAUUCAAGAUCCAUGCUAGACCUAAAAGUCAGGUUAAUAGGAGGAAGAUGAGGAAAAAACAAAGAUGAACUUGCUGUUCUCAAAUCACUAAGAUUUGUUUCUUCUUGCAGGGAAGAUGGAUUGGAAAGAAAUCUUGUGGCCUGAUAUAAAUGCUGAUAGAUUUGUGCCAGCAAGUAAGGAUCUGGGGAGAAAGAGGAAGCGGUAACAAGUGGCACCUUUGAGCUGGCUGUCACACCAGUUUUGUUUGGAGUGAGGACAGGAACAAAACCUUGCAUGAAGCCUUCAGGACAGAAGAGAGGCAGGGACUGAAGGAGGGAAAAAGCCCCAAAGCUGCAGGCCUGUCUGAAGGCCACUGAAAGUGUGGGUGGAAACAGGUAUCCUUUCUGCAUACACCAGUAGCAACUGCUGAGCUCACCGAGCAUGGUGAAUCACUUAAGAGUAACUGGAACAGCUGAAAUACUGGGCUAGAUACAUCUUGCCCUGUAACCCAGGUAAGCUGUGUUAAACACCUCGUUCACAUACCAACUUCCACAGUCUCAAAGGCAGUGUAUGACAGGUUUGAUUUGGUGUUUCUAGCAUUUUCACAAAUACUAUAUGGAAACAUAAUUAAGUUUGAUAAAGUAAAGAGACCAGAAGAUUUUAGAAUCUGCUCAUGAAGAAGAAUCCCAGAAACUCACUGGCUCGUCUAAGUAAAAUUAGAUGCUGAGUCCCAUAGCCCAGCCCAGGGAG